CUACACACCACCUUGAGCAGCGGCGCACUGGCAUGGCCUCGUUCCUUCUAGUUCUGUUUCGACUCUCUUGAUUUCAAAUAUCAAUUUCCUCCACAUCAAGACGACAAACCUCUCCGUGUCAUCAUCCAACAGAGACAAAAAGAGCUCCACCAUUCUGGGUGCACUCACAUGUUCUUUCAUGGUUUUGACGACAUAGUCCACAAACUCUGGCAACUCCGCGUCGAAAAUUUCCGUGAACUUCCUUGAAAUCCAAGGCCUCAUUCUCUCAUGCAAUCCAUGCUCUUCAUAAAUUGCCCAAUUGAUAUCAUGGGAAAAUAGCUCUUCCUUCGUCUUAGGGACAGUAGCAAGCAACUGUUUUAGCUCUUCCUUCUCCUUAGGGACAGUAUCAAGCAACUGUUUUGCAUCCAAAGUUUUAUUUUUCCCUGGCUUGGAUGUAGCUUGCAAUUCAUAACCCACUUUCUUUCCCGCAUUGCUGAUCUGUUCAUAUGAGAGUAGGCCUGGUGCAAACACAAUACGCCUCUCUUUGCCGUUGCUCCUAUGAAACCCAUUUUCCCUGUGCUGACUUUUCGUCCCAUGUUCAACUGUAGGUUCACACUCCAUAGGGGCAUACAUUGUUGAUGCCCCAUCAGUUUGCAGAGAGGACUUUCCAGCUGCAGUCACUUCUCUAUCUUUCCAACAUUGCAAACCCACAGCUGUCCUUUCCCUUAAAUGGUCCUCUUUUUCGCAUUGUCUCCUGAUUUUCCUCUCCUCUAGUGCAAUACUUCUGGAAUCAACAUCACUAUUCUCGUCAACAACUUCAUCGUCGAGAGGGAAACAGCCCGGAUCACCAGCUAAGGCCCCUAAAUGACCACUCAGUGAUAAAGGACUGGCAGACACCUGAACUGGCGGAAUUGGUGAACCUGGACAUUUACUCUUCAUUCUUUCUUCAACCGUACUGUGUAUCUUUUGCAUUGCAUCCUUAUCAGCUUCAUUGGCCUUCUUUUCUGUAGUACUCUGACCAUAUUUCUGAAGAUACGUGUCUGCAUUGACAUUAAGCGCAUCAAUUUGCAAAGAAGACUUUCUAGCUGCAGUCACUUCUCUCUCUUUCCGACCUUGCAAACCAACAGCUUUACUUUUCCCUAAAUGUUUCUCUUUUUCACAUUGUCUCGUGAUUUCUCUCUCCUCCAGUGCACUACUCCUUGUAUCACCAUCUUCAUUCUCAUCAACAAUACUGACAUUGGCAGACACCUGAAUUGGCGGAAUUGGUGAACCUGGAAGUUUACUCUUCAAUCUCUCUAUAAUCAUACUGCGUAUCUUUUGAAUAGCGUCCUUAUCAGCUUCACUGGCCUUCUCUUCUAUAGUUCUACCUCCAUGUUUCUGAAGGUAAUCUCUGGUGGAUUGAUUGACAUUAAGCACCAGUUCUUGGCCAUCAACACUCAGUUUGUUGAGCAACCGCCUUGCACGAAGACUGCUUUCAGCAGACUCAAACUCACAAAAGCCAAAUGCAGUAGGAGUUCCAUCUAUGGGAUUUGUGACUGGCUUCCAACUUUUUACAGGUCCACAAACCUGUAGCUGGAGAAGAGAAAGAAUAAAAUCCUUGUCCACUGUUGACGCUAUCUUGCCUAUGUAUACAUUAAAUUGUAGUAUAUCUGCUGGAGCAACAGGUGGGACAGGUGGUCUGGCCGCAGCCACAGGAUCAGAAACGCCAUGAAUUACUGCUGGUCGUUGAUGCGAGAUAACACCAGGAGGAUACAU
Molecule: ribosomal RNA, 1734 nt
Filed under: Triticum aestivum (bread wheat)
Lineage: Eukaryota; Viridiplantae; Streptophyta; Magnoliopsida; Poales; Poaceae
Description: partial small subunit ribosomal RNA
Source: RNAcentral